ACAACGCCAUAGACUCCAAUGGAACGGUUUUUUACAGCAAUUGCGGCUCGUGGAGCCUCUCAAUAGUUCCCGGAAGUAGCAGCCGCGCCGUAGAGUUACAGCAGAACAGACCGUUUGUGAUGUACUUUUAAAAGCACAAAGGGGAUUCAGAUCCUGAAGAAUCCAUGCAAUGAUGCUGUCACCGCCAGUCUCUGCUCCUUGGAUUUUGCAAGCUUUUCCUUGCUCCUUAUUUUUAAUAAACCUUUAAUAAACA
This is a long non-coding RNA of Megalobrama amblycephala (Wuchang bream), 253 nucleotides long. RefSeq lists it as uncharacterized. The transcript is spliced from 2 exons. NCBI's taxonomy places the organism in Eukaryota, Metazoa, Chordata, Actinopteri, Cypriniformes, Xenocyprididae. The record is from RefSeq and is a predicted model, not a curated record.